This 600-nucleotide ribosomal RNA is filed under the name Tricholoma sp. 24 XXD-2021. Its description in RNAcentral is "partial small subunit ribosomal RNA". It matches the Rfam family "Bacterial small subunit ribosomal RNA", at positions 417 to 949 of the family's 1533-position model. Lineage: Eukaryota; Fungi; Basidiomycota; Agaricomycetes; Agaricales; Tricholomataceae. The record is from RNAcentral.
UAUGACUCAUGAAUUUGGUGAUUAUGAUAACAUAAGGGAAAAAAAUGAUGUUACCUUAUUAUUAGUGUUGUCCAAAACUGGUGCCAGAAGACUCGGUAAGACCAGAGACGCAAACGUUAGUCAUCUUAAUCAGGCGUAAAGGGUGUGUAGGCUGCUUUAAAAGUUUAUUUUUUUUAAUAGCUCUGUAACCGUAAUACUCUCUAAUUUGGGUAGUAUAUAAAAUUUAUAAUUAAAUAAAUGAUAUUUAAAUAAUAUCCGUGUCUCAGAAAAAAAAUAAAUGAAUAAAAGCUAGAAUCAAAUUGAGGAUAAGCCAAAUAAUACUUAGAGUAGGGGUUAAAUCCGCAGAUACUAAGGGGAAUACUAACGGUGAAGACUUUUAUCUACUAAUGAUUGACGCUGAGAAACGAAGGUGAGAAUAGGAAAUAGGAUUUGAUACCCAGAUACCUCUCACAGUCAACGAUGAAUGGUGGUUGUUAGUUUUAGUAAAAACUGGCAACGAUGUUAACACGAUAACCAUUCCGCCUUGCGAGUACGGUUGCAAAACUGAAACCAAAAAAAUUAGUCGGUCUCGAAGCAAACGAAGUGAAGCAUGUUAUUUAA